This 330-nucleotide ribosomal RNA is filed under the name uncultured eukaryote. Its description in RNAcentral is "partial 18S ribosomal RNA". It matches the Rfam family "Eukaryotic small subunit ribosomal RNA", at positions 1470 to 1796 of the family's 1831-position model. The record is from RNAcentral.
CCCUUAGACGUCCUGGGCCGCACGCGCGCUACAAUGACUCAUGCAACAAGUUCUUCCAAACUCGAAAGAGGUCAGGAAAUCUUUAUAAUGUGAGUCGUACUAGUAGGGAUUGAUCUUUGCAAUUCUGGAUCAUGAACGAGGAAUUCCUAGUAAGCAUAAGUCAUCAACUUGUGCUGAUUACGUCCCUGCCCUUUGUACACACCGCCCGUCGCUCCUACCGAUUGAGUGGUCCGGUGAGGCUUUGGGAUCUGAGCGGAAAGAGCGUUUCGCUGUUUCUGCCCGGAAAACUCAGUCGAACCUUAUCAUUUAGAGGAAGGAGAAGUCGUAACA